GGUCUCAGUUCGGAUUGUAGGCUGCAACCCGCCUGCAUGAAGUUGGAAUUGCUAGUAAUCGCGGAUCAGCAUGCCGCGGUGAAUACGUUCCCGGGCCUUGUACACACCGCCCGUCACACCAUGGGAGCCGGUAAUACCCGAAGUCAGUAGCCUAACCGCAAGGAGGGCGCUGCCGAAGGUAGGAUUGGCGACUGGGGUGAAGUCGUAACAAGGUAGC
Molecule: ribosomal RNA, 217 nt
Filed under: uncultured bacterium
Lineage: Bacteria
Description: partial 16S ribosomal RNA
Rfam family: Bacterial small subunit ribosomal RNA
Source: RNAcentral